RNAcentral lists this ribosomal RNA (3050 nucleotides) under Klebsiella michiganensis. RNAcentral describes it as "23S ribosomal RNA". It matches the Rfam family "Bacterial large subunit ribosomal RNA". The record is from RNAcentral. Lineage: Bacteria; Pseudomonadati; Pseudomonadota; Gammaproteobacteria; Enterobacterales; Enterobacteriaceae.
GGUUACGACUAAGCGUACACGGUGGAUGCCCUGGCAGUCAGAGGCGAUGAAGACGUGCUAAUCUGCGAAAAGCGUCGUAAGGUGAUAUGAACCGUUAUAGCCGGCGAUGUCCGGAAUGGGGGAAAACCCAGUGCAACCUCGUGGCUGCACCAUCGUUAACUGAAUACAUAGGUUAACGAGGCGAACCGGGGGAACUGAAACAUCUAAGUACCCCGAGGAAAGAAAUUCAACCGGAGAUUCCCCCAGUAGCGGCGAGCGAACGGGGAGCAGCCCGGAGUCUGAACUAGCUUCUUGUGUGUUAGUGGAAGCGUUCGAAAGUCGCAGGGUACCAGGUGAUACUCCCGUACACUAAAACGCACAGGUUGGUGGAACUCGAAGAGUAGGGCGGGACACGUGGUAUCCUGUCUGAAUAUAGGGAUCCAUCCUCCAAGGCUAAAUACUCCUGACUGACCGAUAGUGAACCAGUACCGUGAGGGAAAGGCGAAAAGAACCCCAAGGAGGAAAGAACUCCAAACCGUGUACGUACCGGCAGGAGCCCCACUAACAAAAGCGUUUCGCUUUUGCGUGGUGCGCAAAAUGCGUAACGACAGCGAUGGACGGUUAACGGAGCGUAAGCGACGUUCAACAUCAAAAAAAUCAGGCAGUGGAGCGUUUUGGGUGGGUGACUGCGUACCUUUUGUAUAAUGGGUCAGCGACUUAUAUUCUGUAGCAAGGUUAACCGUUAGGGGAGCCGCAGGGAAACCGAGUCUGGCUGGGCGUUAAGUUGCAGGGUAUAGACCCGAAACCCGGCGAUUCAGCCGCUGGGCAGGCUUUUGAAGGUUGGGUAACACUAACUGGAGGACCGGAACCGGACUUCAAAUGUUGAAAAUUAGCGGAGCUUAAUUUGUGGCUGGGGGUGUGAAAGCAAUAAUCAAAACCGGGAGAUAGCUGGUUCUCCCCGAAAGCUAUUUAGGUAGCGCCCUCGUGAACUCAUCUUCGGGGGUAGAAUCGUUUCGCUAGGUCAUCCCGACUUACAACCUGAUGCAAACUACGAAUACCGGAAGAAUGUUAUCACGGGAGACACACGGCGGGUGCUAACGUCCGUCGUGAAGAGGGAAAACAACCCAGAAUGCCAGCUAAGGUCCCAAAGUCAUGGUUAAGUGGGAAACGAUGUGGAAGCGCCCAGACAGCGAUGUUGGCUUAGAAGCAGCCAUCAUUUAAAGAAAGCGUAAUAGCUCACUGGUCGAGUCGGCCUGCGCGGAAGAUGUAACGGGCUAAACCAUGCAAACCGAAGCUGCGGCAGCGACACUAUGUGUUGUUGGGUAGGGGAGUUGCCCUGUGUCUCGUUGAAGGUGGCCUGAGGCUUGCUGGAGGUAUCAGAAGUGCGAAUGCUGACAUAAGUAACGAUAAUGCGGGUGAAAAACCCGCACGCCGGAAGAAUAAGGGUUCCUGUCCAACGUGUUAAUCGGGGCAGGGUGAGUCGACCCCUAAGGCGAGGCCGAAAGGCGUGGUCGAUGGAAACAGGUUAAUAUUCCUGUACUCGGGGUGUUACUGCGAAGGGGGACGGAGAAGGCUAUGUUGGCCGGGCGAUUUGUUGUCCUGGUUUACAUGUAGGCGGAUGUUCCAGUAAAUCCGGAACGUCACAACGCUGAGGUGUGAUGACGAGGCACUACGGUGCUGAAGUGACAAAUGCCCUGCUUCCGUGAAAGCUCUGCCAUCAGGUAAACACCGUAAAAUCGUACCCCAAAACCGACACAGGUGGUCAGGCAGAGAAUACCAAGGCGCUUGAGAGAACUCGGGUGAAGGAACUAGGCAAAAUGGUGCCGUAACUUUUCGGGAGAAGGCACGCUGAUGGUAAGUGAAGGACUUGCUCGUGGAGCUGAAAUCAGUCGAAGAUACCACAGCUCGCAAUGCAAAUCGCGUUUAUUAAAAACACAGCACUGGAAACCACAGCUUUUAGCCUGCAGCAUACGGUGUGACGCCUGCCCGGUGCCGGAAGGUUAAUAAACGUAACGGGUUAUCCGUAAGGAGAAGCUCUUGAUCGAAGCCCCGGUAAACGGCGGCCGUAACUAUAACGGUCCUAAGGUAGCGAAAUUCCUUAUCGGGUAAGUUCCGGACCUGCACGAAUGGCGUAAUGAUGGGCUGUGCUGUCUCCAAUUCCGAGACUCAGUGAAAUUGAACCUCCCGCUGUGAAGAUGCAGUGUACCCAAGUGGCAAGACGGAAAGACCCCCGUGAACCUUACUAUAGCUUGACACUGAACACUGGUCCUUGAUGUGUAGGAUAGUGGAGGCUUUGAAGUGUGAUGCCAGUCUGCAUGGAGCCAUCCUUGAAAUACCACCCUUUAAUGGCUGGUGUUCUAACGUGGGCCCGUAAUCCGGGUUGCGGACAGUGUCUGGUGGGUGUUUGAUCAGGGGCGUGGUCUCCUCCUAAAGAGUAACGGAGGAGCACGAAGGUCAGCUAAUCCCGGUCGGACAUCAGGAGGUUAGUGCAAUGGCAUAAGCUACUUGACUGCGAGCGUGACGGCGCGAGCAGGUGCGAAAGCAGGUCAUAGUGGAUCCGGUGGUUCUGAAUGGAAGGGCUAUCGCUCAACGGAUAAAAGGUACCUGGGGAUAACAGGCCGAUACCGCCCAAGAGUUCAUAUCGACGGCGGUGUUUGGCACCUCGAUGUCGGCUCAUCACAUCCUCGGGGCUGAAGUAGGUCCUGGGCGGUAUGGCUGUUCGCCAUUUAAAGUGGUACGCGAGCCGUCGGGGAACGUCGUGGAGACAGUUCGGUCCCCAUUCGCCGUGGCGCUGGAGAACUGAGGGGGCCGUUCCUAGUACGAGGACCGAGCGACGCAUCACUGGUGCUCCGGGCUUGUCAUGCCAAUGCCCGGUAGCUAAAUGCGGAAGAGAUAAGUGCUGAAAGCAUCUAAGCACGAAACUUGCCCCGAGAUGAGUUCUCCCUGACCCUUUAAGGGUCCUGAAGGAACGUUGAAGACGACGACGUUGAUAGGCCGGGUGUGUAAGCGCAGCGAUGCGUUGAGCUAACCGGUACUAAUGAACCGUGAGGCUUAACCUUACAACGCCGAAG